This 977-nucleotide long non-coding RNA is filed under the name Zonotrichia albicollis (white-throated sparrow). RNAcentral describes it as "lncRNA (ENSZALG00000012644.1)". Lineage: Eukaryota; Metazoa; Chordata; Aves; Passeriformes; Passerellidae. The record is from RNAcentral.
UGCCUGCUUUGUGAUUUUUUUAAUACUUUUAAGUUAGUUGUCUUUUAAAACAUGUGGUCAGCUGUUGUAUUCACAUAUGGUCAAAUGAUCAAAGUCUGAACUCCUCUCUAAUUGUCCCCUGCUGCUUGUCUGCUCUGUCCAUGAUCAAGGCCUCAGCAGGUGAUAAGAAAGGCAUGAGAACAGGCUGGAAGGAGAAUGAACUACUGAGGGGCCCAAGCUGAAAGAAAUAAAGACUUCCAGUACAUCACCCUGACAGUAAAGAACCAAGAAAAAGUGAAGUCUGGUAACCGAAGUCUAUGUGCCCAAGUGACUACAGCAGUCCCUUUCCUGGCAGAAGCUGGUCUUUCUGCGAGUCCAUGGAAAGUUCUUGAGCGGAGAGCUCUCCAUGCCUGCUGCUGCUAACAGGCUUUAACAUCUGCCCUCCAUCCCCUUCCUGUGAUCAUGCAACAUCAAACCAUGCAGGAAUAAGUCAGGGUUGAUCUUUCUGCCAUGCUAUGCUCUCCUUGAACAUUUGACUGAAAAGUAUUUGUUUGUAAAUGCUACCACUGCUUUUUGUUUUGUCUGUAGUGACUUUGGAGUUGCACCUUUUCUCUUAUGUUUAAGAGUUCCAGUUCAUGGUGAUAUUUAAGAAAGAACUCAGCCAAAACACAGAAGAAUUGAAGGCCAGUCAUCAGAGGGGAAGAAUAUAGCCUGACAAGUCUACAGAGUAAAUAAGAUUGUAGAGGUGUGUCACUUCAUUUCAAUUAAAUAUCUAUGCAUUCUCACCCACUUGUGUUCUGCAGCUUUGCUGGUGAGUAGAAGGAUUUCCUCAGUGAUGUUGUUUACUUUUUGUUCAUUCAUAUUUGAGCUUACAAAUUGCUUGAAAGCAACUUAACAUUUUGCAUAGAAAUUUCACACAGUUGAAGGUUUUUCUGUGCUGGAGAGAAUGUGAACAGAAUUUACAUUUGUUGAUUUUAAAGUCCUAGAGUGUGGAAGCC